CUUCUCUCCGAGCCUCGUGGCUGCAGAGACCCGUUUUUGGUGGCGGUUUUGCUCGUCUAACCAUAUAGGAAGGAAUCGACAGACCAUGAUGCCCAUCUGCUUCCUGAUGGCGGCGGUGUGAGAUGGCUGAGCUUGUUUGGGUGGGUGGGAGGGCCACGUGUCUCUUGGAGCAACUGCCACGGAUCCACGAAGUUCAGACUCAUCUGGACCAGCCACACGGAUUCCUGUCUUGAGUUGAAGACCAACCUUCCAGUGUCCAGUAAAAGGACCUCCGCUUU
Molecule: long non-coding RNA, 278 nt
Organism: Crotalus tigris (Tiger rattlesnake)
Lineage: Eukaryota; Metazoa; Chordata; Lepidosauria; Squamata; Viperidae
Exons: 2
Source: RefSeq, a predicted model, not a curated record